RNAcentral lists this ribosomal RNA (252 nucleotides) under uncultured bacterium. Its description in RNAcentral is "partial 16S ribosomal RNA". It matches the Rfam family "Bacterial small subunit ribosomal RNA", at positions 524 to 776 of the family's 1533-position model. The record is from RNAcentral.
UACGGGGGGGUAAGCGUUGUUCGGAAUUACUGGGCGUAAAGGGCUCGUAGGCGGCCAACUAAGUCAGACGUGAAAUCCCUCAGCUUAACUGGGGAACUGCGUCUGAUACUGGAUGGCUUGGAUCCGGGAGAGGGAUGCGGAAUUCCAGGUGUAGCGGUGAAAUGCGUAGAUAUCUGGAGGAACACCGGUGGCGAAGGCGGCAUCCUGGACCGGUAUUGACGCUGAGGAGCGAAAGCCAGGGGAGCAAACGGG